GAUGAACGCUGGCGGCGUGCCUAAUACAUGCAAGUCGAGCGAACAGAUGAGGAGCUUGCUCCUCUGACGUUAGCGGCGGACGGGUGAGUAACACGUGGAUAACCUACCUAUAAGACUGGGAUAACUUCGGGAAACCGGAGCUAAUACCGGAUAAUAUAUUGAACCGCAUGGUUCAAUAGUGAAAGACGGUUUUGCUGUCACUUAUAGAUGGAUCCGCGCCGCAUUAGCUAGUUGGUAAGGUAACGGCUUACCAAGGCAACGAUGCGUAGCCGACCUGAGAGGGUGAUCGGCCACACUGGAACUGAGACACGGUCCAGACUCCUACGGGAGGCAGCAGUAGGGAAUCUUCCGCAAUGGGCGAAAGCCUGACGGGGCAACGCCGCGUGAGUGAUGAAGGUCUUCGGAGCGUAAAACUCUGUUAUUAGGGAAGAACAAAUGUGUAAGUAACUAUGCACGUCUUGACGGUACCUAAUCAGAAAGCCACGGCUAACUACGUG
RNAcentral lists this ribosomal RNA (497 nucleotides) under uncultured bacterium. Its description in RNAcentral is "partial 16S ribosomal RNA". It matches the Rfam family "Bacterial small subunit ribosomal RNA", at positions 28 to 507 of the family's 1533-position model. The record is from RNAcentral.